Molecule: transfer RNA, 70 nt
Filed under: Paraconger notialis (Guinean conger)
Lineage: Eukaryota; Metazoa; Chordata; Actinopteri; Anguilliformes; Congridae
Description: tRNA-Ser (AGY)
Source: RNAcentral
GAGAGAGUUUGAUUUUACCCGAAGGACUGCUACUCCCUCCGGCCCGCGGUUAAAAUCCGCGGCUCACUCG